GUCCACGCCCUAAACGAUGUUUACUUGCUGUUUGCCUUUAAUAGGUGAGUGGCGUAGCGAAAGCGAUAAGUAAACCACCUGGGGAGUACGCCCGCAAGGGUGAAACUCAAAGGAAUUGACGGGGUCGCACAAGCGGUGGAGCAUGUGGUUUAAUUCGAUGAUACGCGAGGAACCUUACCUGGGCUAGAAUGUAUGCGGAAGUGAUCUGAAAGGUGAAACGCCCUCCGGGGACGGCAUACAAGGUGCUGCAUGGCUGUCGU
This 260-nucleotide ribosomal RNA is filed under the name uncultured bacterium. Its description in RNAcentral is "partial 16S ribosomal RNA". It matches the Rfam family "Bacterial small subunit ribosomal RNA", at positions 793 to 1055 of the family's 1533-position model. The record is from RNAcentral.